CGGACGGGUGAGUAAUGUCUGGGAAAUUGCCUGAUGGAGGGGGAUAACUACUGGAAACGGUAGCUAAUACCGCAUAACGUCGCAAGACCAAAGAGGGGGACCUUCGGGCCUCUUGCCAUCAGAUGUGCCCAGAUGGGAUUAGCUAGUAGGUGGGGUAAUGGCUCACCUAGGCGACGAUCCCUAGCUGGUCUGAGAGGAUGACCAGCCACACUGGAACUGAGACACGGUCCAGACUCCUACGGGAGGCAGCAGUGGGGAAUAUUGCACAAUGGGCGCAAGCCUGAUGCAGCCAUGCCGCGUGUGUGAAGAAGGCCUUCGGGUUGUAAAGCACUCUCAGCGAGGAGGAAGGUGGUGAGCUUAAUACGCUCAUCAAUUGACGUUACUCGCAGAAGAAGCACCGGCUAACUCCGUGCCAGCAGCCGCGGUAAUACGGAGGGUGCAAGCGUUAAUCGGAAUUACUGGGCGUAAAGCGCACGCAG
Molecule: ribosomal RNA, 479 nt
Filed under: Serratia marcescens
Lineage: Bacteria; Pseudomonadati; Pseudomonadota; Gammaproteobacteria; Enterobacterales; Yersiniaceae
Description: bacterial SSU rRNA
Rfam family: Bacterial small subunit ribosomal RNA
Source: RNAcentral